This 276-nucleotide ribosomal RNA is filed under the name uncultured Hyphomicrobiales bacterium. RNAcentral's name for it is "uncultured Rhizobiales bacterium partial 16S ribosomal RNA". It matches the Rfam family "Bacterial small subunit ribosomal RNA", at positions 54 to 354 of the family's 1533-position model. Lineage: Bacteria; Pseudomonadati; Pseudomonadota; Alphaproteobacteria; Hyphomicrobiales. The record is from RNAcentral.
CUACCAUGCAGUCGAGCGCCCCGCACGGGGAGCGGCAGACGGGAGAGUACACGUGGGAACGUACCCUUUGGUUCGGAACAACCCAGGGAAACUUGGGCUAAUACCGGAUAAGCCCUUACGGGGAAAGAUUCAUCGCCGAAGGAUCGGCCCGCGUCUGAUUAGCUAGUUGGUGGGGUAACGGCCCACCAAGGCGACGAUCAGUAGCUGGUCUGAGAGGAUGAUCAGCCUCACUGGGACUGAGACACGGCCCAGACUCCUACGGGAGGCAGCAGUGGG